This 400-nucleotide ribosomal RNA is filed under the name uncultured bacterium. RNAcentral describes it as "bacterial SSU rRNA". It matches the Rfam family "Bacterial small subunit ribosomal RNA", at positions 359 to 776 of the family's 1533-position model. The record is from RNAcentral.
GAAUCUUGGACAAUGGGGGCAACCCUGAUCCAGCGACGCCGCGUGGGUGAUGAAGGCCUUCGGGUUGUAAAGCCCUUUCGCCGGGGAAGAUGAUGACGGUACCCGGUAAAGAAGCACCGGCUAACUCCGUGCCAGCAGCCGCGGUAAGACGGAGGGUGCUAGCGUGGUUCGGAAUCACUGGGCGUAAAGGGCGCGUAGGCGGCGUCGGCAGUCAGAUGUGAAAGCCCGGAGCUCAACUUCGGAAUUGCAUUUGAUACUCCGAUGCUGGAGGUCGGAAGAGGAGAGUGGAAUACCCAGUGUAGAGGUGAAAUUCGUAGAUAUUGGGUGGAACACCGGUGGCGAAAGCGGCUCUCUGGUCCGUACCUGACGCUGAGGCGCGAAAGCGUGGGGAGCAAACAGG